GAAAACCACAGAUGAUGGUGCUGGAUCAUCGCUAGUUAAAGUGCUGGAUAUGCCCAAGGUCACAUGGCCUAAGAAAAACUGCUCUCCCUUCCAAGGACCCAGCAGUCUUUAGACCAGCUCAAGCCUCCCAAUUCUCCCUGCUGGCUGAAAACCAAGUGCACUGGGAUUCUGAGAGGCAUGAACCCCCAUGCCUGAAACUUGCCUCAUCUCCCAACGAGAGCCUUGUCUGGAGUGUGCAUCAGCCAUGCCACAGGAGGCAGAGGCUCCAGUGGCUGCAGUAGAUACGGUGGCUGCAGUGGCUGUGGAGUCCAAGCGGGGAGAUAACGUGUGCUCCAGUCCUCAGAGUUCAAAAACGAAAACAUGAUUUUAGGAUACUGGAUCUGGACGGCCCUUUCUCUAUGAAUAUCCUAGAAAGCAGCCCAGCGAGGGCCAAGAUGGCAGCAUUUUGCCAGAAUCCAUUGUACCACUGGACUCCCAGUAGAGCAGACAAAGCACCCAACACCGAUUGGCUAUCGGGAUUUGGCCUACCAAUCACACACCUGAGAGGCGAGGUCCAGUGUGAGACCUUGAGAACAAAUUCCUAGAGAUGAAGAAACCCUGCCUGGAGAAUGUGAUAUGGAAACUCUGCCUCUGUUUCGACCUGCUGGCCUACUGCACAAAGUGUCAACUGCCCUGAGAUUCUGCUACCUAUCUUCCUGAGACAUUCCUGAAUAAGCAACCAAGUGCUGACAGCAUGGCGACAUGGCGACAAAGCACCAAGGAUGCAAGGAUGGACUGGGGGGGUGGGGCGCGGGGGAGGACAUGGGCCUUCCCCCUUAUAAGCACACUCUCUUAGUAAACUCACGAGCCUUGAUCAGAG
RNAcentral lists this long non-coding RNA (859 nucleotides) under Mus musculus (house mouse). RNAcentral describes it as "RIKEN cDNA A930007I19 gene". The record is from RNAcentral. Lineage: Eukaryota; Metazoa; Chordata; Mammalia; Rodentia; Muridae.